CCUACGGGAGGCAGCAGUAAGGAAUCUUCCACAAUGGACGAAAGUCUGAUGGAGCAACGCCGCGUGCAGGAUGAAGGCUUUCGGGUCGUAAACUGCUUUUAUAUGGGAAGAUUAUGACGGUACCAUAUGAAUAAGGACCGGCUAACUACGUGCCAGCAGCCGCGGUAAUACGUAGGGUCCAAGCGAUAUCCGGAAUUACUGGGCGUAAAGCGUGUGUAGGUGGAUUAAUAAGUGUGAUGCGAAAUCCGGCGGCUCAACCGUUUGGACUGUGUCGCAUACUGUUAGUCUAGAGGACGGCAGAGGUAAGUGGAAUUACGGGUGUAGCAGUGAAAUGCGUAGAUAUCCGUAGGAACACCAAUGGCGAAGGCAGCUUACUGGGCCACACCUGACACUGAGACACGAAAGCGUGGGGAGCGAACAGGAUUAGAUACCCUGGUAGUCCACGCCGUAAACGAUGCAUACUAUUAGUAUGGGGUAUCGACCCCCUGUGCUGAGAAGCUAACGCGAUAAGUAUGCCGCCUGGGGAGUACGAGCGCAAGCUUAAAACUCAAAGGAAUUGACGGCUGAGACNGCGAGACGACGACGAGGGAGAGG
RNAcentral lists this ribosomal RNA (594 nucleotides) under uncultured bacterium. Its description in RNAcentral is "bacterial SSU rRNA". It matches the Rfam family "Bacterial small subunit ribosomal RNA", at positions 338 to 944 of the family's 1533-position model. The record is from RNAcentral.